UGUGUAACAUGCAGCAUGCCUUCGAUCCAAAUAAACUCCCAGAAUUAUUAAAAGAAUGGUUUUUUCCUCCUGAGGUCAAGGAUGAAUCCUUAGCACCCAGAAGUGGGGAGCAAUGCGGCUAGGACAGGUAACGCAGGCAGGACGCUAUUCAGUGCUGCCCCCAGAGAGGACCAACAUCCAGAAGCUCAGUUUUGCUGGUCACUUAGCUGAGAACCUGAGGUUUGGCAUGGACCCACAUGUCUUCAGAUGCCUGAAAGCUGCAGUACAGUAUGUGACCAUUUUUCCUGCUGACCCUUAGAGCAUUACAGCUUCUACUUUGUGUACCUUGAGCGUCCUACACUUGAGAUGUUCAAAACUAAUUCAGGCUCAGCAAUGUCUUCCUCUUCCAGCUCUGUUCCAAAGUUGCAAUCAAUGGGAAACUCAAAUUUCUUUGACUCUGACAGAAAGAAAAAAAAAAAGUAAAAUAAAAUGGACCCAGGGUCAUGUUGUGCUUC
This is a long non-coding RNA of Chinchilla lanigera (long-tailed chinchilla), 494 nucleotides long. RefSeq lists it as uncharacterized. The transcript is spliced from 3 exons. NCBI's taxonomy places the organism in Eukaryota, Metazoa, Chordata, Mammalia, Rodentia, Chinchillidae. The record is from RefSeq and is a predicted model, not a curated record.